GGGCAGGAACGACUGUUCCCAUCACACAGACAUGACCCGGCCUGGUGGAAGGGAGACUGGCUUUGCCAGAGGCGCCCACGCUCAUCUGCUGUGACCAGGAACCCAAGACCUGUACAUCUGCAAAGGUCAGACAUCAUCAUCUUCAUCUUCAUCUGCACCUGGCUCCUGAGCGAGUUCUGUGCCCAGUGCUCUGCAGAGCCCCAAGCCCGCAUCUUGUCCUUGCAUCCCCACAGCAGCAGGGGAGGAAGGAAUCGCCAAGAACACACGGCGGAAUGAUACAGAUUCCAGUUUAGGAAUGAUCAAAAGCUACGGGAGAGGCUGUGACUCAUCUUAAUGCUCCGUUUUGAGAGAGACAUCAAAGGCCACCCCAGAUUUAUCUGUCUGCCCGGAGACACAGCUGUUCCCAGAAAGCAUUCACAUGCCUCAUGCAGUUGCUCCCACUCCCGUUUAAUGACUUUUUAAAGUUAUAAAAGCAAAUUGUAUUCAGGGAAAUAGUUCAAAAACUACAGUCAUGUAUUUAAAAAAUAGUUAUUACCU
This is a long non-coding RNA of Heterocephalus glaber (naked mole-rat), 537 nucleotides long. RefSeq lists it as uncharacterized. Lineage: Eukaryota; Metazoa; Chordata; Mammalia; Rodentia; Bathyergidae. The record is from RefSeq and is a predicted model, not a curated record.